UACAGAGGGUGCAAGCGUUGUUCGGAAUUAUUGGGCGUAAAGCGCGUGUAGGCGGCCUAGCAAGUUGGGUGUGAAAGCCCUCGGCUUAACCGAGGAAGUGCGCCCAAAACUACAAGGCUUGAGUGCCGGAGAGGGUGGCGGAAUUCCCGGUGUAGAGGUGAAAUUCGUAGAUAUCGGGAGGAACACCAGUGGCGAAGGCGGCCACCUGGACGGUAACUGACGCUGAGACGCGAAAGCGUGGGGAGCAAACAGGAUUAGAUACCCCUGUAGUCC
RNAcentral lists this ribosomal RNA (273 nucleotides) under uncultured bacterium. RNAcentral's name for it is "partial 16S ribosomal RNA". It matches the Rfam family "Bacterial small subunit ribosomal RNA", at positions 524 to 796 of the family's 1533-position model. The record is from RNAcentral.